This 119-nucleotide ribosomal RNA is filed under the name Pteropus alecto (black flying fox). The record is from RNAcentral. Lineage: Eukaryota; Metazoa; Chordata; Mammalia; Chiroptera; Pteropodidae.
GUCUAUGGCCAUGCUACCCUGAACAAGCCUGAUCCUGUCUGAUCUCGGAAGCUAAGCAGGGUCAGGCCUGGUUAGUACUUGGAUGGGAGACCACCUAGGAAGACCAGGUGCCGUAGGUG